CCUACGGGUGGCAGCAGUGGGGAAUAUUGCGCAAUGGGCGAAAGCCUGACGCAGCGACGCCGCGUGAGGGAUGGAGGUCUUCGGAUCGUUAACCUCUGUCAGUAGGGAAGAACGGUCACUGUGCUAAUCAGCAGUGAAUUGACGGUACCUGCAAUGGACGCACCGGCUAACUCCGUGCGAGCAGCCGCGGUAAUACGGAGGGUACGAGCGUUAAUGGGAAUUACUGGGCGUAAAGAGCUCGUGGGCGGUAUGGCAAGUCGAGGGUGAAAUCCCCGGGCUCAACGUGGGAACUGCCUUUGAAACUGGCAAACUAGAGUGUUGGAGAGGAUAGUGGAAUUCCCGGUGUAGGAGUGAAAUCCGUAGAUAUCUGGAGGAACAUCAGUGGCGAAGGCGACUUCCUGGAACAUAACUGACGCUGAGGAGCGAAAGCGUGGGUAGCAAACAGGAUUAGAUACCCUUGUAGUC
Molecule: ribosomal RNA, 465 nt
Filed under: uncultured bacterium
Lineage: Bacteria
Description: partial 16S ribosomal RNA
Rfam family: Bacterial small subunit ribosomal RNA
Source: RNAcentral